Molecule: transfer RNA, 83 nt
Filed under: Candidatus Avelusimicrobium stercoris
Lineage: Bacteria; Pseudomonadati; Elusimicrobiota; Elusimicrobia; Elusimicrobiales; Elusimicrobiaceae
Also listed under: 7 other names
Description: tRNA-Leu
Rfam family: tRNA
About the family: Transfer RNA (tRNA) molecules are approximately 80 nucleotides in length. Their secondary structure includes four short double-helical elements and three loops (D, anti-codon, and T loops).
Source: RNAcentral
GGGCUGGUGGCGGAAUGGCAGACGCGACAGACUUAAAAUCUGUUGACCGCAAGGUCGUGGGGGUUCAAGUCCCCCCCUGCCCA